GCCCGGCACGGUGACGCGUGCCUGUAGUCCUAGCUACUCGGGAGGUUGAGGCUGGAGAAUCCCUUGAGUUCAGGAGUUCUGGGCUGUAGUGCGCUAUACCCACUGGGUGUCCGCACUAAGUUCGGCAUCAAUAUGGUGACCUCCCGGGAGUGGGGGACCACCAGGUUGCCUAAGGAGGGGUGAACCGGCCCAGGUCAGAAAUGGAGCAGGUUAAAACUCCCGUACUGGUCAGUAGAGGGAUUGUGCCUGUAAAUAGCCACUGCACUCCAGCCUGGGCAACAUAGCGAGACCCUGCCUCU
This 299-nucleotide signal recognition particle RNA is filed under the name Saimiri boliviensis boliviensis (Bolivian squirrel monkey). Its description in RNAcentral is "Metazoan signal recognition particle RNA (ENSSBOG00000000814.1)". It matches the Rfam family "Metazoan signal recognition particle RNA". From Rfam's summary of the family: The signal recognition particle (SRP) is a universally conserved ribonucleoprotein. It is involved in the co-translational targeting of proteins to membranes. The record is from RNAcentral. Lineage: Eukaryota; Metazoa; Chordata; Mammalia; Primates; Cebidae.